AGUGAACGCUGGCGGUAGGCCUAACACAUGCAAGUCGAACGGCAGCACAGUAAGAGCUUGUUCUUACGGGUGGCGAGUGGCGGACGGGUGAGGAAUACAUCGGAAUCUACUUUUUCGUGGGGGAUAACGUAGGGAAACUUACGCUAAUACCGCAUACGACCUACGGGUGAAAGCAGGGGAUCUUCGGACCUUGCGCGAUUGAAUGAGCCGAUGUCGGAUUAGCUAGUUGGCGGGGUAAAGGCCCACCAAGGCGACGAUCCGUAGCUGGUCUGAGAGGAUGAUCAGCCACACUGGAACUGAGACACGGUCCAGACUCCUACGGGAGGCAGCAGUGGGGAAUAUUGGACAAUGGGCGCAAGCCUGAUCCAGCCAUACCGCGUGGGUGAAGAAGGCCUUCGGGUUGUAAAGCCCUUUUGUUGGGAAAGAAAAGCAGCGGGUUAAUACCCCGCUGUUCUGACGGUACCCAAAGAAUAAGCACCGGCUAACUUCGUG
This 492-nucleotide ribosomal RNA is filed under the name uncultured bacterium. Its description in RNAcentral is "partial 16S ribosomal RNA". It matches the Rfam family "Bacterial small subunit ribosomal RNA", at positions 29 to 507 of the family's 1533-position model. The record is from RNAcentral.